This 352-nucleotide ribosomal RNA is filed under the name uncultured bacterium. RNAcentral's name for it is "bacterial SSU rRNA". It matches the Rfam family "Bacterial small subunit ribosomal RNA", at positions 1 to 334 of the family's 1533-position model. The record is from RNAcentral.
CUCUAUGCGUCCAGAGUUUGAUCCUGGCUCAGGACGAACGCUGGCGGCGUGCCUAAUACAUGCAAGUCGAGCGGAUUUAGUCGGGAACUUGCUCCUGACUGAGUUAGCGGCGGACGGAUGAGUAACACGUAGGUAACCUGCCCGUAAGACCGGGAUAACAUUCGGAAACGGAUGCUAAUAGCGGAUACGCAAUGCCCUCGCAUGGGGGAAUUGGGAAAGGCGGAGCAAUCUGCCGCUUACGGAUGGACCUGCGGCGCAUUAGCUAGUUGGUGAGGUAACGGCUCACCAAGGCGACGAUGCGUAGCCGACCUGAGAGGGUGAUCGGCCACACUGGGACUGAGACACGGCCCAG